CGGAGGAUCCGAGCGUUAUCCGGAUUUAUUGGGUUUAAAGGGUGCGCAGGCGGAAGAUUAAGUCGGUGGUGAAAUUUUGCAGCUCAACUGUAAAAGUGCCAUUGAUACUGGUUUUCUUGAGUGUGGAUGAAGUAGGCGGAAUUUGUGGUGUAGCGGUGAAAUGCAUAGAUAUCACGAGGAACUCCGAUUGCGCAAGCAGCUUACUAAACCAUAACUGACGCUCAGGCACGAAGGCGUGGGGAUCAAACAGGAUUAGAUA
This 259-nucleotide ribosomal RNA is filed under the name uncultured prokaryote. RNAcentral's name for it is "partial 16S ribosomal RNA". It matches the Rfam family "Bacterial small subunit ribosomal RNA", at positions 526 to 784 of the family's 1533-position model. The record is from RNAcentral.